UAAUCAUUCCAUAGCCCGGUGUCACAAGUGCAUGAGUAAUUUAUAGGAAAUAAUGUAAUACAACAACCGUCUGGAAUAUAAUAUUGGACAGAAAAAUAAUACAUUAAUCUGAAAGAGACUCUGCUAGCCGCGGGUCGUCUCGGGAAGUGCAGCUCACCUAAGUCUCCAUAUCAACCAUGCUGCUAUGCGCACUAUUCCAGUAGAGAUUCAUGUGUCUGUGUAGCAAAAAUGCAUAGAAAGUAUAUGUAUGAGUACGAAAAUAACAUGUACCCAAUAAGUAUCCCUUCUAAUCUCGAAAAAGUUGAGACUAGAGGUCGACUUCGACACUUACUAGUGGUCCAGUAAUGUUAUCUCAAUUAUAUAGUAAAUUCAUAUUUUUUAUAAACAUGAUUGUAAUUCAAUGGAAUGAAGCAAGUAAGCAAUUCUUUCUUUUAUAGGAAUUUUCUAAAUUUCUGUUCAUUAUUUAUACAUAUAUUUCCAAGCCCGGAAGAGGCAAUAACAACUUCAAUAAGUAAUCAAGGCAAGCAAUACAAGCAUGCGCAAAUCAUGCCGAGGUCGUACGACCCGAUUCAACAAUAUUUAAAUUGUGCACUACCGGAGGAUCGAAUGGAGCGAACCAUAGAUGCAUCUAUUUAAUCAACAAAGCUAUUCAGCCCGUUCCAGAAUUUAAACACACACGAACAAUCAAGAAGUCAUCAAAAAAUAAUUAUCUGAAGAAAACCAAUUCUCUUUUUAACAAUUUAAGAAAAUGAAGUUUAAAUCUUUUUAGAAAUUCAUUUAUUACUUCGAUGUAAUUUAAGAAAUUCAACUGUCAAUAAGAUUACAAAUCCAAGUAUAACAUGCUUCUGGGUCCUAAACUACCCAAACCUAAACAUACUAGUAGUUAUGCAAGAACUCUCAUCACCUCAUGCAUACGUAGCCCUCACAACUUGGAGCACAUAUUUAAUUAUUUUACCUAUGGAGAUAAUUCCUCUUACAAGGUUAGAAAGUAGACCCACCUCGCUUCGAAGAUCCAUAACCGGCUUUCGACGCCCUUUCGAAGACUCAAAUUGAUACACAACGCUCCAAAGCUAGCCAAUAACUAUGCAAAUCUAUUAAUAUAUGUUCAAUUACUCAUUACAAAUCCAAUUUAUAACAAUUUGUAACCCCGAUCGAAAAGUUAAUGAAAAUUCCCUCGGACCCAUAUGCCCAUAUUUUGAGAAUUUUCAAAGACAAAGUUUGCCCAUAACCUCACGAACUCGAAUAUAUAGUUUACUUUCAAUUUCAUACCCAAAAUUGUGGUCAGAAUCCAAAAAUACCAUUUUCUAGGUCUUUCACCCAAACCCCAAAUUCCUACUAAUUUCAUGCUCAAAUCCGUACAUAAUCAAUGUAUUUAACUCAAGAUGGGUAGGGAUAGCUUACCUUGUCGUUGAUGAUGAAAACCCCCUCUUGAAACCCUCAAAAAAUGGCCCAAGCCAAGAGAAACAUGAUAGGAAAAUGGCCAAAUCCCGAUUUUAAAACACUCAUUGCCUCUAGCCCUUUCCAUACCUACGGUCUCUUGACCGCUUCUGCGAUCCCGCAGGUGCAGACAAACACCACUUUUGAAAAAAAGUGAAUUCUUUUUAUGGUCAAACGACCCUUAUAAAUAUGAACUUAACUUAAUGCACAAUCCGUG
RNAcentral lists this long non-coding RNA (1654 nucleotides) under Nicotiana benthamiana. Its description in RNAcentral is "long non-coding RNA (NBEN_LNC031954)". Lineage: Eukaryota; Viridiplantae; Streptophyta; Magnoliopsida; Solanales; Solanaceae. The record is from RNAcentral.